RNAcentral lists this ribosomal RNA (252 nucleotides) under uncultured bacterium. RNAcentral's name for it is "partial 16S ribosomal RNA". It matches the Rfam family "Bacterial small subunit ribosomal RNA", at positions 524 to 776 of the family's 1533-position model. The record is from RNAcentral.
GACGGAGGAUGCGAGCGUUAUCCGGAUUUAUUGGGUUUAAAGGGUGCGUAGGCUGUUUCUUAAGUCAGCGGUCAAAUUUCUGCGCUCAACGCAGUCUUGCCGUUGAAACUGGGAGACUUGAGUCUAGAUGAAGUGGGCGGAAUUUGUAGUGUAGCGGUGAAAUGCAUAGAUAUUACAAGGAACUCCAAUUGCGCAGGCAGCUCACUAAACUAUCACUGACGCUGAAGCACGAAAGCGUGGGUAUCAAACAGG